AGGGACAGACACUGUAAACAUCCUACACUCUCAGCUGUGGAAAGUGAAAGCUGGGAGAAGGCUGUUUACUCUCUCUGCCUU
This 81-nucleotide microRNA precursor is filed under the name Dipodomys ordii (Ord's kangaroo rat). RNAcentral's name for it is "microRNA 30c-2 (ENSDORG00000020064.2)". It matches the Rfam family "mir-30 microRNA precursor family". Rfam says of the family: This family consists of the mammalian microRNA (miRNA) precursor mir-30a. The record is from RNAcentral. Lineage: Eukaryota; Metazoa; Chordata; Mammalia; Rodentia; Heteromyidae.